Molecule: ribosomal RNA, 200 nt
Filed under: uncultured organism
Description: partial small subunit ribosomal RNA
Rfam family: Bacterial small subunit ribosomal RNA
Source: RNAcentral
ACGUCAAGUCAGCACGGCCCUUACGUCUUGGGCCACUCGCACGCUACAAUGGUCGGUACAAUAGGUUGCCAAGGAGCGAUCCGGAGCUAAUCCCCAAAGCCGACCUCAGUUCAGAUUGCAGGCUGAAACCCGCCUGCAUGAAGGCGGAGUUGCUAGUAAACGCCGGUCAGCACACGGCGUUGAAUACGUUCCCGGGCCUU